UGAGGCCAUAGCCCCUCGCCAAUGCCCGAUCUCAUCUGUUCUUGGAAUCUAAGCGAGACCUGGUUAGUACUUGGAUUGGAGAAUGGUGUGGCUCCCUCCAGCCAAGUUGCCUUUCCAU
Molecule: ribosomal RNA, 118 nt
Filed under: Periophthalmus magnuspinnatus
Lineage: Eukaryota; Metazoa; Chordata; Actinopteri; Gobiiformes; Gobiidae
Source: RNAcentral